UUUACUGAUAUACACUUAAAGAAAUUUUGUUGAUAUGUUACAUAAUAAAAAAUGUUAUAAAAAAAUAUGAAAAUCAGGUGCUACAAAAAAAGAUCAAAACGAUGUCAUUUUUACGAAUGCUUCAAAGUAUUCUGAAGAAUGUUGUGGAGAAUUAAGAAGUGGAUUACUUCAAAUUCUACCUGAAUGGUUUCCGAAAACAAUGAGAAGGGAAAUUUUCUCGACCUAAUGCAACGCAGAGCUCUCGUGAUACCAAUAAAUAAACACAACAAAUAUUUGCAAAUUCCCUACGACUUAAAUUGUCCGUCGGUACAAAGCCAACAUCAAAAACGCAUAUGCAAAACGUGUGGGUUGUAUUUUGCAUCAAAAAAAUCAGCUACUCGGCAUGCAAUAAUUCAUAAAAAUAUAGCUGUAAGCUUCGAUAAGAAAUCAAAGAAACCCCUUUACCGUGUGGCUGGACGGCGAAAGGGAGAAUGCCUAGUAAUUCAGACAUACGAAGAAUGUGAAGACCUCGAAUGGCUUGACGAGGACUAUGUAGACGAAGAAGACGAAGAUGAUACCUGCGGAGAUCUAGAGAUUUUGACAAUCCAACUUCCAAUAAUAAAUUAUAUUAAAGAUUGGCUGGAAUCUUCUUUUGAAAAUACAGAUAAGUAGUUUUAAAUAGAUUUAAGAUUUUCGUGUAUCUUUCUUGUAAGAGAAGUGUAUGAAAUAAAAAUAUUUUUUAAACGGAACUCAUUGGAGUAACACCAUUAUUAUAAUGGGCUCCUCUUAACAAUCCUAUUAGGCAAUUUAUAAGUCCUUCUUCUCCGUCGCUGCAUAUCUUUAAACAAUUCUCACACGUUCUCUUCUGUUUGAACCGAACAUUAUUCUGCCGCCUCUUAAGAUUCCCGUUUCUUGAUUGAGAAUACUGUUUUCUUCUGCAUUUCCGUGCAAAAUGCAUCAACAUCCGCCUUUGCUUUUCAAGCCAUUAUUUUGUUGAUGAAAUCGGUGCUAGUGUAGGUAGAUUUUAUUAGCAUGGCUUCGGAUUGUUUAUUUAUUUGUUCCUCAACCUGUCAAGCUGCUAUGACCUCGUCCAAGGAAUACUCCCUCUCUAAUAGUUUUUUCUUCAAAUCUACAAGCGCCUAAGAAUCUAUUAUUUUGUCUUUUAGACAAAUCUCCUCGGUUUCCACCUUAGAUUGGCUAAACGAACAAUUCCAGAUUUGGUCAUUCUCGAGCUCUGCUAACUUCCGAAACAAAUGCCUUUCAAAAGUGGAAUUUUGUUUGUGCGAAAAGUAAGCAUUUGGCUUCUCCACCAAAAUCUUAAACACAUCAUUUCCCUGGUAUCGAGAACGUGACAGUCUGCAGUUGCACACCACCCAUGUGAAGAAGUUUAGUUCUCUUCAUCUUCUUCAUGCUCUAAACCACCUUUCCCAUUAAAUUAAUGUACCGAAGUACGACUUUUCAAUGGUGUCGCAUAGAAAAGGUUUUAAACAAUUUUCAGCCAUCCUAAAACCAGGCAAACAAAAAAGUGUUUGUUUUUAGUACAAUAUUGGCUUGUUUGAACGCAGCCUCGAAUUAUAUAAUUUUAUUUCCUUUAA
Long non-coding RNA from Drosophila ananassae, 1574 nucleotides. RefSeq lists it as uncharacterized. NCBI's taxonomy places the organism in Eukaryota, Metazoa, Arthropoda, Insecta, Diptera, Drosophilidae. The record is from RefSeq and is a predicted model, not a curated record. The transcript has 3 exons.